Molecule: ribosomal RNA, 913 nt
Filed under: uncultured archaeon
Lineage: Archaea
Description: bacterial SSU rRNA
Rfam family: Archaeal small subunit ribosomal RNA
Source: RNAcentral
UCCGGUUGAUCCUGCCGGACCUGACUGCUAUCGGAUUGAUACUAAGCCAUGCGAGUCAUUGUAGCAAUACAAGGCAGACGGCUCAGUAACGCGUAGUCAACCUACCCUAUGGACGGGAAUAACCUCGGGAAACUGAGAAUAAUGCCCGAUAGGACACUAUGCCUGGAAUGGUUUGUGUUCGAAAUGAUUUAUCGCCGUAGGAUGGGACUGCGGCCUAUCAGUUUGUUGGUGAGGUAAUGGCCCACCAAGACUAUUACAGGUACGGGCUCUGAGAGGAGUAGCCCGGAGAUGGGUACUGAGACACGGACCCAGGCCCUAUGGGGCGCAGCAGGCGAGAAAACUUUGCAAUGUGCGAAAGCACGACAAGGUUAAUCCGAGUGGUUUCUGCUAAAGGAACCUUUUGUCAGUCCUAGAAACACUGAUGAAUAAGGGGUGGGCAAGUUCUGGUGUCAGCCGCCGCGGUAAAACCAGCACCUCAAGUGGUCAGGAUGAUUAUUGGGCCUAAAGCAUCCGUAGCCUGCUUUGUUAGUUUUCGGUUAAAUCUGUACGCUUAACGUACAGGCUGCCGGGAAUACUGCAAAGCUAGGGAGUGGGAGAGGUAGACGGUACUCGGUAGGAAGGGGUAAAAUCCUUUGAUCUAUUGAUGACCACCUGUGGCGAAGGCGGUCUACCAGAACACGUCCGACGGUGAGGGAUGAAAGCUGGGGGAGCAAACCGGAUUAGAUACCCGGGUAGUCCCAGCCGUAAACCAUGCAAACUCAGUGAUGCAUUGGCUUGUGGCCAAUGCAGUGUUGCAGGGAAGCCGUUAAGUUUGCCGCCUGGGAAGUACGUACGCAAGUAUGAAACUUAAAGGAAUUGGCGGGGGAGCACCACAAGGGGUGAAGCCUGCGGUUCAAUUGGAGUCAACGCCGGA